AGUGAACGCUGGCGGUAGGCCUAACACAUGCAAGUCGAACGGCAGCACAGUAAGAGCUUGCUCUUACGGGUGGCGAGUGGCGGACGGGUGAGGAAUACAUCGGAAUCUACUUUUUCGUGGGGGAUAACGUAGGGAAACUUACGCUAAUACCGCAUACGACCUACGGGUGAAAGCAGGGGAUCUUCGGACCUUGCGCGAUUGAAUGAGCCGAUGUCGGAUUAGCUAGUUGGCGGGGUAAAGGCCCACCAAGGCGACGAUCCGUAGCUGGUCUGAGAGGAUGAUCAGCCACACUGGAACUGAGACACGUUCCAGACUCCUACGGGAGGCAGCAGUGGGGAAUAUUGGACAAUGGGCGAAAGCCUGAUCCAGCCAUACCGCGUGGGUGAAGAAGGCCUUCGGGUUGUAAAGCCCUUUUGUUGGGAAGGAAAAGCAGCAGGUUAAUACCCCGCUGUUCUGACGGUACCCAAAGAAUAAGCACCGGCUAACUUCGUG
Molecule: ribosomal RNA, 492 nt
Filed under: uncultured bacterium
Lineage: Bacteria
Description: partial 16S ribosomal RNA
Rfam family: Bacterial small subunit ribosomal RNA
Source: RNAcentral